GAUGAACGCUGGCGGCGUGCUUAAUACAUGCAAGUCGAACGGAAAGACGCUGAGCUUGCUUUUUUGACGUUAGCGGAGGACGGGUGAGUAACGCGUGGAUCCCCUACCUAUCAGACUGGGAUCACCACGGGAAAGCGGCGCUAAUCCCGGAUAAUAUUUUGAACCGCAUGGUUCAAAAGUGAAAGACGGCUUUGGUGUCACUUAUAGAUGCAUCCGGGCUGCAUUAGCUAGUUGGUAAGGUAAAGGCCUACCACGGCAACGAUGCAUAGCCGAGGUGACAGGGUGAUAGGCCACACUGGAACUUGGACGGGGUCCAGACGCCUACGGGAGGCAGCAGAAGGGAAUCGUCCGCAAUGGGCGAAAGCCUUACGGAGCAACGCGACGUGAGUGACGAAGGUCUUCGGAUCGGAAAACUCUGUUAUUAGGGAAGAACAGAUGUGUAAGUAAAUGUGCAGAUCGUGACGGUAACUAGUCAGAAAGCCACGGCUAACUACGUG
This 497-nucleotide ribosomal RNA is filed under the name uncultured bacterium. RNAcentral's name for it is "partial 16S ribosomal RNA". It matches the Rfam family "Bacterial small subunit ribosomal RNA", at positions 28 to 507 of the family's 1533-position model. The record is from RNAcentral.